This is a non-coding RNA of Aedes aegypti (yellow fever mosquito), 72 nucleotides long. The record is from Rfam. NCBI's taxonomy places the organism in Eukaryota, Metazoa, Arthropoda, Insecta, Diptera, Culicidae.
GGCUUGGUAGCUUAGUUGGUAAAGCGCUCGUCUAGCAUACAAGAGUCCUGGGUUCAAAUCCCAGCCGAGCAC